This is a long non-coding RNA of Rhagoletis pomonella (apple maggot), 934 nucleotides long. RefSeq lists it as uncharacterized. NCBI's taxonomy places the organism in Eukaryota, Metazoa, Arthropoda, Insecta, Diptera, Tephritidae. The transcript has 3 exons. The record is from RefSeq and is a predicted model, not a curated record.
AUUAAAUAGCCCGCGAAGGGGAAAAAAAUCCAAGUGGAAAAUUUUACUAUAAGUUUGUCAACUGUCGAAGAGACAAAAGACAUUUUCUUCCCUCACCUUGCAUCAACGACAGUGCAUUAAAUACCAUCUCGUCUGAAGUAAAUGAAUUAGAUGAUUCAGUUAUAAAUGCAUUGCAAACGUCACUUAGCAGAGAAAGCGCGAAUUGGAAUGAAGUUUGUGACAAGUGGUCAAAAACAUUCCAAGCCAGACAGUACGAUCUGAGGAGCUUAACAAACAUCGACUUUUUAAAAGCAUGGCCCAAACUAUCAGAUUCAAGAGCACCUGAACUGAUCAAAAUAGAUUUCAAUCUCCUGUAUCCAUCGAAGCAAGACUUGUUGUAUUCAAAAUGGGAGCACUUCAAAUUAAGCAUUGUGCGCUUUUACGAAACUCGCAUAAGUAAUGAAAAUUGCAAACAAAUGUUUUUAUUGGCAAAGUCCUUAAAACACAUAGACACUCAGGAUUGCCUAAUUUCGACAUUGCUAAUUUCAGUACUGCAAACCGCUUCAAGAUUUGUUAACACUACGGGAAAAUUACUAUUGUCGAUGCACAGGAGAGCUUCAUAUUGCGUUUAGAAUCAGUAAAUGACUAUCAAAGAAGAGUUGACGAAAUCAUUUGCAAGUAUUAUUCAGCUAAAACAACGAUUCAGCCAUUUUUAAUAGUAGUAGGACCUGAAAAUGAGCUUAAAGAUUUUUUUAUUUAUUUUGACAAUACGUUAUACAAAUUCAACUCAUUUAUUGAGAGCUUAGACUUGUGCUUUAAAAUAUUUCAUGUUUUUUCCUUAAAAUAUUCUCAAGGAUGUGAAUUAGUGUGGGUCUUUAUACAAAACUACUUUUAUGACAUAACAACACAGUUCGAUUCCAAAUCAUCGAAUAUAGUUUCACUUAUAAACUUUUUA